Molecule: long non-coding RNA, 405 nt
Filed under: Ananas comosus (pineapple)
Lineage: Eukaryota; Viridiplantae; Streptophyta; Magnoliopsida; Poales; Bromeliaceae
Description: long non-coding RNA (ACOM_LNC042769)
Source: RNAcentral
CUCAUUGUAUUCUCCUUGUCUUUGGAGGAUUGCUCGCAUACCUCGGUUGAUUCCGUUGGGGGUUGAUCUAUGGGUUUCUUCUAGCGACUUCUUGCCAGUGUUGGACGAGUGGUUGAGGUGGGUUAAUGUUUAUUGAAAUCGUCGGAAUUCCUCCUAAGUCGUAGAGUUGUCAGCAUGCAUCUUCUUGUUUUGAUCAUCAUGUUUAGUAGCUCAAAUUCGUGGAUUUGCAUGUUUUAUAUGAAAUAUGAAUUUGGAGCAUAAUUUAAUGAUUUUAAAUAAAGUUUUAUAUACUGAACUGCGAUUUGAUUUAGGAGACAACUCGUUAAACCUACACCUGACACUUUUCGAAAAGUUAACAGAAUUAGCUUUAGGCGCUGUUUUUCUUUUGUAUCACCACUGUUAGUG